AUGGAGAGGUCGAGGUCCAAGAAGAGCCCGUUGCGAUGAGCCUCGCUCAGGAAGUAUCAAGAAAGAUGAUGAGGCAGAACGCGCUCAUAAAGAAAACCCACCAGAGGAUCCUGGGAAAUCAACGCCAAAUCCGCUACCUGACUCAACAAAAUGCGCUGCUAGAGCAGCAGCAAUCAAAAAAUAUUGCUGAGAUGGAACGGCUUCAGAAGCUCAAUCAGAGUUAUAUCUGAAUUUAUUUUUUUAUUAAAAAAUCUUAUUUUUUGGAAA
This is a long non-coding RNA of Rana temporaria (common frog), 267 nucleotides long. RefSeq lists it as uncharacterized. Lineage: Eukaryota; Metazoa; Chordata; Amphibia; Anura; Ranidae. The record is from RefSeq and is a predicted model, not a curated record. The transcript is spliced from 2 exons.